GACGAACGCUGGCGGCGUGCCUAAUACAUGCAAGUUGAGCGCUUAAGGUUGGUACUUGUCCCAACUGGAUGAGCAGCGAACGGGUGAGUAACGCGUGGGGAAUCUGCCUUUGAGCGGGGGACAACAUUUGGAAACGAAUGCUAAUACCGCAUAAAAACUUUAAACACAAGUUUUAAGUUUGAAAGAUGCAAUUGCAUCACUCAAAGAUGAUCCCGCGUUGUAUUAGCUAGUUGGUGAGGUAAAGGCUCACCAAGGCGAUGAUACAUAGCCGACCUGAGAGGGUGAUCGGCCACAUUGGGACUGAGACACGGCCCAAACUCCUACGGGAGGCAGCAGUAGGGAAUCUUCGGCAAUGGACGAAAGUCUGACCGAGCAACGCCGCGUGAGUGAAGAAGGUUUUCGGAUCGUAAAACUCUGUUGGUAGAGAAGAACGUUGGUGAGAGUGGAAAGCUCAUCAAGUGACGGUAACUACCCAGAAAGGGACGGCUAACUACGUG
This 497-nucleotide ribosomal RNA is filed under the name uncultured bacterium. RNAcentral's name for it is "partial 16S ribosomal RNA". It matches the Rfam family "Bacterial small subunit ribosomal RNA", at positions 28 to 507 of the family's 1533-position model. The record is from RNAcentral.